GGCGGCGCGCCUAACACAUGCAAGUCGAACGAGAGAGAAGGAGCUUGCUUCUUCGAUCGAGUGGCGAACGGGUGAGUAACGCGUGAGGAACCUGCCUCAAAGAGGGGGACAACAGUUGGAAACGACUGCUAAUACCGCAUAAGCCCACGGGUCGGCAUCGACCUGAGGGAAAAGGAGUGAUCCGCUUUGAUAUGGCCUCGCGUCCGAUUAGCUAGUUGGUGAGGUAACGGCCCACCAAGGCGACGAUCGGUAGCCGGACUGAGAGGUUGAACGGCCACAUUGGGACUGACACACGGCCCAGACUCCUACGGGAGGCAGCAGUGGGGAAUAUUGCACAAUGGGGGAAACCCUGAUGCAGCGACGCCGCGUGGAGGAAGAAGGUCUUCGGAUUGUAAACUCCUGUUGUUGAGGAAGAUAAUGACGGUACUCAACCAGGAAGUGACGGCUAACUACGUGCCAGCAGCCGCGGUAAAACGUACGUCACAAGCGUUGUCCGGAAUUACUGGGUGUAAAGGGAGCGCAGGCGGGAAGACAAGCUGGAAGUGAAAUCUAUGGGCUCAACCCAUAAACUGCUUUCAAAACUGUUUUUCUUGAGUAGU
This 599-nucleotide ribosomal RNA is filed under the name uncultured organism. Its description in RNAcentral is "SSU rRNA". It matches the Rfam family "Bacterial small subunit ribosomal RNA", at positions 38 to 650 of the family's 1533-position model. The record is from RNAcentral.